RNAcentral lists this unclassified non-coding RNA (377 nucleotides) under uncultured Parachlamydiaceae bacterium. Its description in RNAcentral is "contains 16S-23S intergenic spacer region". Lineage: Bacteria; Pseudomonadati; Chlamydiota; Chlamydiia; Parachlamydiales; Parachlamydiaceae. The record is from RNAcentral.
UCCUGGUUAACCCAGGCAGUCUCAUUAGAGUUCCCACCUUAAAUGUUGGCAACUAAUGAUAAGGGUUGCGCUCGUUGCGGGACUUAACCCAACACCUCACGGCACGAGCUGACGACAGCCAUGCAGCACCUGUGCACAGGCUCCGAAGAGCUAUUGCAUCUCUGCAAUAUUCCUGUGCAUGUCAAGCCUGGGUAAGGUUCUUCGCGUUGCAUCGAAUUAAACCACAUGCUCCACUGCUUGUGCGGGUCCCCGUCAAUUCUUUUGAGUUUUACACUUGCGUGCGUACUCCCCAGGCGGUAUACUUAUCGCGUUAGCUUCGGCACAACUGGGGUUGAGUCCAGUUACACCAAGUAUACAUCGUUUACGGCAAGGACUAC